GACGAACGCUGGCGGCGUGCUUAACACAUGCGAGUCGAACGGAAAGGCCCGGCUUUGGUGGGGUGCACGAGUGGCGAACGGGUGAGUAACACGUGGGUAACCUGCCCUGUAGUGUGGGAUAACUUCAGGAAACGGUGGCUAAUACCGGAUAGGAGCUGCUACUGCAUGGUGGGGGUUGGAAAGUGUCGGCGGUUGCGGUUGGACUGGCGGCUGAUGAGUUUGUUGGUGGGGUAGUGGCUUACCAAGGCUUUGACGGGUAGACGGCCUGGGAGCGUGACCGGCCACCUUGGGCCUGCGGUAGGGCCCAGACUCCAACGGGCGGCAACGGUGGGGAAUCUUGCCCAAUGGGCGCAAGCCUGUUGAAGAAACGCUGCGUGCGGGAUGCCGUCCUUCGGGUUGUAAACCGCUUUCGCCUGUGACGAAGCGUGAGUGACGGUAAUGGGUAAAGAAGCACCGGCUAACUACGUG
RNAcentral lists this ribosomal RNA (468 nucleotides) under uncultured bacterium. Its description in RNAcentral is "partial 16S ribosomal RNA". It matches the Rfam family "Bacterial small subunit ribosomal RNA", at positions 28 to 507 of the family's 1533-position model. The record is from RNAcentral.